Molecule: non-coding RNA, 309 nt
Organism: Prunus avium (sweet cherry)
Lineage: Eukaryota; Viridiplantae; Streptophyta; Magnoliopsida; Rosales; Rosaceae
Source: RefSeq, a predicted model, not a curated record
CUCCUGUGACGACGAGACAGCGACUCCUCUCCUCUCAGCGAAAUUGAUGAGAACUCUGGCCGAAUAACCGAAGAGAUAGAGAAGUGCAAAGAGCAGAGUCUUGAGAAGAAGAGAGGCUUAGAGGAAGCCAAAGAACAAGUUGAGAAAGCUGCUUAUGUAGUUUUAGAGAUGCUCAACAACAGAGGAUAGAUUGUAGAGUGAAUGUAUUGAACAAUACUUUCAAUUACAUGAAUGAAGUUUAUGUUGGCUUUGAUGAGGAUAUAGUACCAUUGAGAAUAAGCUUUUAAAGUAAAUUUGACUGUUAUAUCA